Molecule: ribosomal RNA, 468 nt
Filed under: uncultured bacterium
Lineage: Bacteria
Description: partial 16S ribosomal RNA
Rfam family: Bacterial small subunit ribosomal RNA
Source: RNAcentral
GAUGAACGCUGGCGGCGUGCUUAACACAUGCAAGUCGAACGGACAGGCCCUGCUUUUGUGGGGCGCUCGAGUGGCGAACGGGUGUGUAACACGCGAGUAUCCCGUCCCUGACUUUGGGAUAACUUCAGGAAACUGGGGAUCUUACCGGAUAGGAGCUCCUGCCGCACGGUGGGGGUUGGAAAGUUUCGGCGGUUGGGGAUGGACUAGCGGCUUAUCAGCUUGUUGGUGGGGUAGUGGCUUACCAAGGGUGCGACGGGUAGCCGGCCUGAGAGGGUGGCCGGCCACAUGGGUACUGAGGGACGGCCCAGACGGCUACGGGAGGCAGCGGGGGAGAAUAUUGCAGAAUGGGCGGGAGCCUGAGGCAGCAGCGCCGCGUGCGGGAUGACGGCCUUCGGGUUGUAAACCGCUUUCUCCUGUGACGAAGCGUGAGUGACGGUAAUGGAUAAGGAAGCACCGGCUAACUACGUG